UACGUAGGGGGCGAGCGUUGUCCGGAAUCAUUGGGCGUAAAGCGCGUGUAGGCGGCCCGGUAAGUCCGCUGUGAAAGUCCAGGGCUCAACCCUGGGAUGCCGGUGGAUACUGUCGGGCUCGAGUCCGGAAGAGGCGAGUGGAAUUCCUGGUGUAGCGGUGAAAUGCGCAGAUAUCAGGAGGAACACCAAUGGCGAAGGCAGCUCGCUGGAACGUGACUGACGCUGAGGAGCGAAAGCGUGGGGAGCGAACAGG
This 253-nucleotide ribosomal RNA is filed under the name uncultured bacterium. Its description in RNAcentral is "partial 16S ribosomal RNA". It matches the Rfam family "Bacterial small subunit ribosomal RNA", at positions 524 to 776 of the family's 1533-position model. The record is from RNAcentral.